UGAAAUGCUACAAUCUCCUCUUGUCUAUGGUGUUUUUCUGCAAUAGUUCCCUACGCAAUCAUUGUAGUAGAAUAAAGGAAAUAAUCUAGGGAUAGUGAUUCAAUAAAUAACAGGUGCCCUGUCUAGAGCGUACGCGUCCUUGAGCCACGCACCUGCAUGAUGACCGCAUACCGAGAGACUAUUGUUUCAGGUUGACCUUGUCUAGAGGAGCAUUAGUGGAAAAAAAACUGUGUAGCCCUGAGACAAUAGGAUGCCGACACGACCAAUGAGACUGGCCUGCAGGGGGCGCAAGGAUUCACUUCUCUCUUGGACACUGACGGGUGUAGACACGGUAAUUAUGAUCCUGGCGUUGGCCGUCAGUGGAAGAGCGUAGCUUAGGUGGGGUUCUGUCUGCCUCUGAUGGGGUGUGGAUGUAUGGUUCGUCACUGGUGAAUGGUGUUCGACGAUGCAGGUGGAUUUUGUGACGAGCGGAUUUACAAUGAGGGAAUGCUGUGAACGGGAAAAAUGAUGGUGAGUGCCUUUUUCACUCUGUUCAAGUGUUCGUUUUCCUCUGUUGCCCAACAGUCGUGCGAAUUUGUCCUGACGUGUCCUGACAUGCCCCGAUAUGCAUGCUUUCCUUUGUUAACGCUUUGUAUUUUGUCUUUUUUGACAAGGAACAUUGUCGUCUUGACGAUAGUGCUGCCCUGAGUUCUGCGCGCGUUGAUUUGUUAAGUGCCUAGUCCUCUUAUUAGCCGUUGAUGGAGUUACAUGUUAGGAUGUUUUGUUCUUUUGCAAGUCUCAUUUAGUAAGACUUUGGAAUUCCUACGAUCAGUUUUCAUGCAUGGUGCUCUUCUGCAAUAGUUUCCUAUGCAAUGGUUAUAGAAGAAUAAAGGAAAUAAUCUUGGGAUAGUGAUUCAAUAAAUAAUAGGUCCCCUGCUAGAGCGCACGCGUCCUUGAGCCACGCAGGUGCAUGAUGACGUCAUACCGUGGCUUCACUGCAGAUUGACCAAAGGAGCAUUAGUGGAAAAAAAAAAACAGUGUAGCCCUGAGACAAUAGGAUGAUGUCUGGACCAAUGAGAACUGCCAGCAGGGGGCGCAGGAAUGCUCUUCUCACUUAGCCUCACGACCAAUGAGAACGGCCAGCAGGGGGCGCAGGAAUGCUCUUCUCUCUUAGCCUCUCGCAGGUGGCGGUAGGAGCGCGCAGAGGGCGCUACGAGCGCGCGCGCGCGCGCAUGCGCGGUCGGGUGGAGCAGAGGGCGCUAGGAGCGCGCGCAUGCGUAGCACCCGUAGAGUGGCGCUUACGUCAGUCCACCUCUGGCUCUCGUUGGGAGAAGACGUGCGGUCGUUCGCUCCGUCGUCACUUGAUCCCUGGCUGUCGACGAGAGCAGUCGCAUCGGUCUGCACUCCUACUGUGAGCUGUCCUAACUUGCCCAGACAUGCCGUGAUGACGUCACAGCUGACGUCACAGGAUGUCCGGAACUGGUGGUCAUAGCUGCGAUGCUUUGCAACCUGCUUCUGUGCUCCGUCACCCAGCGACGGUCAGCGGCCUUUCCGGACCGCUUUCUUCAAGAUGGCGCCGUUGAUCUUCAAUUAAACUCCUUCUCUCCACUCUAUUUCUAUCUAUUUUUUUAUUUUUUAUGGACUCUCACGGUGCACAACGCUCAGCUGGUCUGGACACGAGUUAGACUUUCCCCAAUUAGUGUGGUGGCUCCCUGGAGGGUGCUGAUUAAUGUGGGGGGUCCCAAUUAGCUCUAAUUGCCAAUUAAAUCGUGUUCAGGCCAGUUGGGCGUUGUGCACCGUGAGAGUCCAGUACUUACUACUCGUUACCAGCUUGUCACACUCAUAUGCUGGAAGGAUCACAAGUCUUUUGUCCGAUGGUACCAACCAACAUAGAAGGAUAUGGCUCCGUUCAUGCCUUCCGGGACAGUGGCUCCAAGUUGACCAUCAUUUCAGACAUCAUCGCCACUAACAGACCAGUAACUCCAUGGAAUGGACCCCCUUGUCUGUAGUUGGUGGUGGACACGUUACUCCUGUAGGGACUACGCCCAUCACGGGUGAAUAUUGGUUCCUAGCCGCCCAAGCAGAACUUCACGUCAAACCGCCCCACCCUUCAGAAAUACGUCACCCACCGUCUGGAACUGCCAUACUCUGCGAGGAGAAACUAGUUCCCAAAACGCUCCACGCAGUUGUUUUACAGUUACCAGCUUUGGGCAUAUUCACCGAAUCACCUAGCGCAGGACAAAGGACUCCGCUCCGAACACAUUUUCCCAGCGGAGAAGACAGAGUGGACAAAACUAAACUGCUUAGUGCAUGGGCCAGCUGAGUCAAAUGAGUUAGCUACCGAAGACAGUCCACCGCUCUCUGAAGUCAAAUUCGGAGCACAGUUGUCAACAGACGAGCAAGACAAGCUCAUAGCAGUUUUGAACAAGCAUACAAAUGCUUUCGCCAGAAGUGACGACGACCUCGGUCUCUACACGGCCACUGAGCACACAAUUCAGCUCGUUGAAGGACACCAGCCCUACAGCCUUACAAGAACCAGUUAAAGACAUAUGCUCGAAAAUGGCUCACGGAUCCAAAGGCCUCUACACAGUUCUCGAAAAGAGAACACCAUACACCUACAAGAUGGUAUGCAUAAACCCAAGCUCACCAAGAAGCAAGUCGGAACAACGUAUAGCCCAUAUCAGCCAAAUCAAGCCUUAGAAGGCACCCUAUCAAGACCCCUUCUUGUUCCGCCACACAAACCAACAAGACGAAAGCGACGACGGAAGGAAGUCCCCGGCACCUCCAUGAACAAAGCCGGCAACCUCCACAAAAGGGACAUCGUAUACGUGGACGACUCCAACCAAUCUCAUAAACGAGAACUCUACUGUGACUUUGUGUGACUAACUUGUGUUAGUUUUCGUAAUUUUAAAGGGUUUAUUUUGUUUUAUGCCGAGAGGGCUCGUCAAUUUUUCAAGAAGGGUAGGAUGUGAGUAUGGAAGCAGCGCAAGCGUAGAAGACGACGACUCGAGAAGACGAGCGCGUGAUACAACCAAGUGUAAAUUCAAUCCACACCAUCUUGGCGAAUGUAAGUCGUAGAAUAAAGAGGCGUUUACUUCGACGCCUGU
Molecule: long non-coding RNA, 3086 nt
Organism: Ornithodoros turicata
Lineage: Eukaryota; Metazoa; Arthropoda; Arachnida; Ixodida; Argasidae
Exons: 3
Source: RefSeq, a predicted model, not a curated record